GAUGAACGCUGGCGGCGUGCCUAAUACAUGCAAGUCGAGCGAACGGACGAGAAGCUUGCUUCUCUGAUGUUAGCGGCGGACGGGUGAGUAACACGUGGAUAACCUACCUAUAAGACUGGGAUAACUUCGGGAAACCGGAGCUAAUACCGGAUGAUAUUUUGAACCGCAUGGUUCAAAAGUGAAAGACGGUCUUGCUGUCACUUAUAGAUGGAUCCGCGCUGCAUUAGCUAGUUGGUAAGGUAACGGCUUACCAAGGCAACGAUGCAUAGCCGACCUGAGAGGGGGGCGGGCAAAAAGGGAAAGAGAAACGGGUCAGAAACCCACAGGGGGGCAGAAGGAGGGAAUCUUCCGAAUGGGGGAAAGGCCUAAAGGAGAACCGCAGGGGGGGAGAAGAAGGUGUAGGGAUGGAAAAACCUGUUUAUGGGAAAAAAAAUAUGGGUAAGUAAAGGGGCACAUCUUGACGGUACCUAAUCAGAAAGCCACGGCUAAAUAAGG
This 495-nucleotide ribosomal RNA is filed under the name uncultured bacterium. RNAcentral's name for it is "partial 16S ribosomal RNA". It matches the Rfam family "Bacterial small subunit ribosomal RNA", at positions 28 to 506 of the family's 1533-position model. The record is from RNAcentral.